GGGGAAUGCUCUGGGCAAGCACGCUUCCUUUGCAAGGAAACUGAGGUGGGUUCGAUCCCCACAUUCUCCA
RNAcentral lists this transfer RNA (70 nucleotides) under Sphingomonadales bacterium RIFCSPLOWO2_12_FULL_63_15. Its description in RNAcentral is "tRNA-Ala". The record is from RNAcentral. Lineage: Bacteria; Pseudomonadati; Pseudomonadota; Alphaproteobacteria; Sphingomonadales.